CAUUCACGGAGAGUUUGAUCCUGGCUCAGGACGAACGCUGGCGGCGUGCUUAACACAUGCAAGUCGAACGAUGAAGCCCUUCGGGGUGGAUUAGUGGCGAACGGGUGAGUAACACGUGGGCAAUCUGCCCUGCACUCUGGGACAAGCCCUGGAAACGGGGUCUAAUACCGGAUAUGACCAUCUUGGGCAUCCUUGAUGGUGUAAAGCUCCGGCGGUGCAGGAUGAGCCCGCGGCCUAUCAGCUUGUUGGUGAGGUAACGGCUCACCAAGGCGACGACGGGUAGCCGGCCUGAGAGGGCGACCGGCCACACUGGGACUGAGACACGGCCCAGACUCCUACGGGAGGCAGCAGUGGGGAAUAUUGCACAAUGGGCGAAAGCCUGAUGCAGCGACGCCGCGUGAGGGAUGACGGCCUUCGGGUUGUAAACCUCUUUCAGCAGGGAAGAAGCGAAAGUGACGGUACCUGCAGAAGAAGCGCCGGCUAACUACGUGCCAGCAGC
This 499-nucleotide ribosomal RNA is filed under the name Streptomyces lavendulae. RNAcentral describes it as "bacterial SSU rRNA". It matches the Rfam family "Bacterial small subunit ribosomal RNA", at positions 1 to 515 of the family's 1533-position model. The record is from RNAcentral. Lineage: Bacteria; Bacillati; Actinomycetota; Actinomycetes; Kitasatosporales; Streptomycetaceae.